UUAUAGACCCUUAUGAAAGGCAAAAUGAGGGUCCAACUGUCUCUUAUAAUGAAUCAAUUAAACUGAUCUCCUAGUAAAAAAGCUAGAAUUACAACAUAAGACCAGAAGACCCUGUGAAGCUUAAAUAAAACUAUUAAACCAUAUAAUAACUACUUUCGGUUGGGGCGACCUUGGAAAAAAAGAGAACUUCCAAAUAAAAUGACUAUACCUCAUUAACCUAAACAGGCCAACAAGCCAAAAAUGACCCAGCACAGCUGAUAAUUGAACCAAGUUACUCCAGGGAUAACAGCGCAAUCUUCUUCAAGAGCCCAUAUCAAAAAGAAGGUUUACGACCUCGAUGUUGGAUCAGG
RNAcentral lists this ribosomal RNA (350 nucleotides) under Coronella austriaca. RNAcentral's name for it is "partial large subunit ribosomal RNA". It matches the Rfam family "Bacterial large subunit ribosomal RNA", at positions 1980 to 2541 of the family's 2925-position model. The record is from RNAcentral. Lineage: Eukaryota; Metazoa; Chordata; Lepidosauria; Squamata; Colubridae.